AUCAGGAUGGCCAAGUGGUCUAAGGUACCAGACUCAAGUUUUGGUCUCCAAAUGGAGGCGUGGGUUUGAACCCCACUUCUGACA
This 84-nucleotide transfer RNA is filed under the name Loxodonta africana (African savanna elephant). Its description in RNAcentral is "tRNA-Leu (CAA) (tRNA-Leu-CAA-12-1)". It matches the Rfam family "tRNA". From Rfam's summary of the family: Transfer RNA (tRNA) molecules are approximately 80 nucleotides in length. Their secondary structure includes four short double-helical elements and three loops (D, anti-codon, and T loops). Lineage: Eukaryota; Metazoa; Chordata; Mammalia; Proboscidea; Elephantidae. The record is from RNAcentral.